RNAcentral lists this ribosomal RNA (253 nucleotides) under uncultured bacterium. Its description in RNAcentral is "partial 16S ribosomal RNA". It matches the Rfam family "Bacterial small subunit ribosomal RNA", at positions 524 to 776 of the family's 1533-position model. The record is from RNAcentral.
UACAGAGGGUGCAAGCGUUGUUCGGAAUUAUUGGGCGUAAAGCGCGUGUAGGCGGCUAUGUAAGUCGGGCGUGAAAUCCCACGGCUCAACCGUGGAAGUGCACCCGAAACUGCGUAGCUAGAGUCCUGGAGAGGAAGGUGGAAUGCUUGGUGUAGAGGUGAAAUUCGUAGAUAUCAAGCGGAACACCGGUGGCGAAGGCGGCCUUCUGGACAGUGACUGACGCUGAGACGCGAAAGCGUGGGGAGCAAACAGG